Phrynosoma platyrhinos (Desert horned lizard) is the source of this 72-nucleotide non-coding RNA. The record is from the annotation of a GenBank genome assembly. Lineage: Eukaryota; Metazoa; Chordata; Lepidosauria; Squamata; Phrynosomatidae.
GCCAGUGUGAUGUAGUGGUUUGAGUGUUGGACUACAACUCUGGAGACCAUGGUUCAAUUCCCAGCUCAGCCA